UCCAACUUCCAGAAUUAAAAUCCGACACCGUUAUUAAAAAGACCACUCUCGGUCAAACUUUCAAAAAAAUCCAACUUUUGCCAUUUCGAGCCAAAUUCAACUACGGACCUCCAAAUCACAAUCUGGACACAGUCCUAAGUCCAAGUCACCCAACAAUGCUAAUAGAACCAACAAAAUUCUAAUCCAAGAUCAAAUACUAAAAAGUCAAAUUUGGUCAACUCUUUUAAAUUUAAAGCUCCCUGGUUGAGAAUCAUUCAUCCAAAUUAGUCCCGAAUAAUAUGAAAACCAAAACCGACGAUUCACAUAAGUCAAAAUACAUCAUACGGAAUACUCUUGCCUGUAAACUACUGAGCAAAGUGCAAAUGCUCAAAAUGACCAGCUGGUCAUUGCAUCCAUAAAACCCUAGAUGGUACUACACAAAGGAAUAUCCAUUACAAUAUUCUCUCGGAAAUUUAAAUCCUAAAAUUGAUCGUCACUUCGUAUCGAAGGCGGAUGCUCGUCCUCGUCUUAUGUUAAGCCAUUUCGAUAUCAACAACGAUUUAUCCUCCACAUUUGACCUCGAUUUUUUGUAGUUAGGUUAAUAUGUCACAACCUUCGAAGACUUUAUUACUGUUGACCGGGUCAAACACAUAAAAUGAAGUUGCAAAUGGUAACUAUAAAAGUAGUUUCUUCCCAAAAAAAUUUCCCCCGGGGACUUCUUUUUAUUAUAAAAAGAACUCCGUUUGUUAUUUUUCGUUCUUUAAAAUUUGAC
Molecule: long non-coding RNA, 751 nt
Filed under: Nicotiana benthamiana
Lineage: Eukaryota; Viridiplantae; Streptophyta; Magnoliopsida; Solanales; Solanaceae
Description: long non-coding RNA (NBEN_LNC003950)
Source: RNAcentral